AAGUCGUAACAAGAUCUCCGUUAAUGAACCAAUGGAGGGAUCAUUAUCAAAUUACGUAUUCAAAUAACUCUUCUGUGAACUUAAAUUUAAACCGUUGCCUUGGCGGACGGUCCUCUGUCAAAAUCUAUGUAAUACAGACAGGGGACCAGAUAGUCCGGUACGCUUAAGGCAUCCGGCACCAGCUGUUGGUCUCAAACAAUUAAACUCUAGUAACCUUAUCUUCUGAGUUUUAAUACAAAAACAAAUAAGUCAAAACUUUCAACAAUGGAUUUCUUAACUUUG
Molecule: unclassified non-coding RNA, 282 nt
Filed under: fungal sp.
Lineage: Eukaryota; Fungi
Description: partial internal transcribed spacer region
Source: RNAcentral